UGUAGCUGGCCUCUUGGGGUAUGUGCACACCUUGAUCACAUAUCCACCUAUCACACCUGUGCACUAUGUGUAGCUUGGGAUGAUUACAAUAUUGGAAACAAUGUUGGANAGCCCUAGCUAUGAAUUUUUAUACACCCACAUAUAAAGUUUAUAGAAUGGAUAAUAUUAUAGCGUAUAAUUACGCAAAUAUAUACAACUUUCAGCAACGGAUCUCUUGGCUCUCGCAUCGAUGAAGAACGCAGCGAAAUGCGAUAAGUAAUGUGAAUUGCAGAAUUCAGUGAAUCAUCGAAUCUUUGAACGCACCUUGCGCUCCUUGGUAUUCCGAGGAGCAUGCCUGUUUGAGUGUCAUGAAAUUCUCAACUACCUUUUUAGCAUUUAUGUUUCAAGGGUGAAGUUGGAGUUGGAGGAUAAUUGCUGGCGCAACUUAGGUUGCUUGUUGGCUCCUCUUGAAUGGAUGAGCUUUUCUAAUGGAUCAUAGCUCUCAGUAACACUAAUGUGAUAAUUAUCUACGUUAGAUGUGAAAGCUUUUAUGAGUAGAGUGACUUCAAUUAUGGAGAAGCUCCCUAUAGAAAAGGUGUUGUCUUGGGAAGACCCCUUGACUUAUUAACAUAUAAUGACAAAUCUGACCUCAAAUCAGGUAGGACUACCCGCUGAACUUAAGCAUAUCAAUAAGCGGAGGAAAAGAAACUAACAAGGAUUCCCCUAGUAACUGCGAGUGAAGCGGGAAAAGCUCAAAUUUAAAAUCUGACAUGCCUUUGGCUGUCCGAGUUGUAGUCUGGAGAAGUGUUUUCCGUGCUGGACCGUGUACAAGUCCCUUGGAAUANGG
RNAcentral lists this ribosomal RNA (826 nucleotides) under uncultured Pseudotomentella. Its description in RNAcentral is "eukaryotic LSU rRNA". The stretch from base 195 to 348 matches the Rfam family "5.8S ribosomal RNA". The record is from RNAcentral. Lineage: Eukaryota; Fungi; Basidiomycota; Agaricomycetes; Thelephorales; Thelephoraceae.